CAUGUCCUUUUGAUAAUAAUUUAAGGUCUGAUCUGCUCAAUGAAUUUUUAAUAGCCGCAGUAUUUUGACUGUGCAAAGGUAGCAUAAUAAUUAGUUUCUUAAUUAGGAACUGGAAUGAAUGAUUGGACAAGAAAAUUACUGUCUCUUUUUUAAAUUUAUUGAAUUUUAUUUUUAAGUGAAAAAGCUUAAAUAUAUAUAAAAGACGAGAAGACCCUAUAGAGUUUAAUAUUUUUUACAAAUAGAAAGUUAGAAUAUUAUUUUUGUAUAAUUUAUUUAGUUGGGGUGAUUAAAAGAUUAAAUUAAUUCUUUAAAAAAAAAAUUGUUAAUUUACAAAUUAUGUAUCUAUAAUUUAUAAAUAUAAAAUAAAUUACCUUAGGGAUAACAGCGUAAUUUUUCUUUAAAGUUCUUAUUGUAAGGAAAGUUUGCGACCUCGAUGUUGGAUUAAAAUUAAUUUUUGGUGCAAUAACUUAAAAAUUAGGUCUGUUCGACCUUUAAAAUUUUACAUGAUCUGAGUUUAAACCGGUGUGAGCCAGGUUGGAUUCUAUCUUUAGAAAAUUUAAUAUACUUUAGUACGAAAGGACCAAGUAUGUGUUAGAUUAAUUG
This 603-nucleotide ribosomal RNA is filed under the name Cautires sp. UPOL A00106. RNAcentral's name for it is "partial 16S ribosomal RNA". It matches the Rfam family "Bacterial large subunit ribosomal RNA", at positions 1816 to 2714 of the family's 2925-position model. Lineage: Eukaryota; Metazoa; Arthropoda; Insecta; Coleoptera; Lycidae. The record is from RNAcentral.